UACAGAGGUGGCAAGCGUUGUUCGGAAUUACUGGGCGUAAAGGGCGCGUAGGCGGCCUUCUAAGUCGGACGUGAAAUCCCCAGGCUUAACUGGGGAACUGCGCCUGAUACUGGAUGGCUUGAGAUUGGGAGAGGGAUGCGGAAUUCCAGGUGUAGCGGUGAAAUGCGUAGAUAUCUGGAGGAACACCGGUGGCGAAGGCGGCAUCCUGGACCAACACUGACACUGAGGAGCGAAAGCCAGGGGAGCAAACGGG
This 253-nucleotide ribosomal RNA is filed under the name uncultured bacterium. RNAcentral's name for it is "partial 16S ribosomal RNA". It matches the Rfam family "Bacterial small subunit ribosomal RNA", at positions 524 to 776 of the family's 1533-position model. The record is from RNAcentral.